This is a long non-coding RNA of Papilio polytes (common Mormon), 524 nucleotides long. RefSeq lists it as uncharacterized. The transcript has 2 exons. The record is from RefSeq and is a predicted model, not a curated record. NCBI's taxonomy places the organism in Eukaryota, Metazoa, Arthropoda, Insecta, Lepidoptera, Papilionidae.
GUACCAUAUAUUCCUAAGUUCUGUUCUGUCAGCACGCAUUGCUUGUGGAAAAAAAUUGUGAAUUUAUCUAUGUUUUAAAAUGUGUUGUUCUUUGGCUAUACAAAAUGCGUUCUUUAUUUCUGCAAUAGUGAUACUAAUACUAAAUUUGGUAUUUAUUGUUUUGUCUAUUAUUUUCACUUUAAAGAACAAGGAAAUGGAAAAGGUCAAUCCUCGUGAAUCCCUAUCUCCGUCGACCCUUCAGUGGAGGGAUGGAUCUCGUGCGGGUAGCGUACCACAGGUCUUGAUGUACCAAGCCUUGGUACGAGUUAGUGUCGGAUCCAGACAAAAUUAAAUUUAUAACUGCUAUCAUUGAAACUUGUGUUAAAUUACAUUUUUUUUUGCAAGGAUUUUGAAUAAUGUAUUAAUCUUAUUAAAUCAGAAUCCGUACAUAAAGUCUACCGCGUUUUGCAAUUAUCUUAUCUACUCUUUGCGUACCAGUUGCUUUUUAAUGAAAUUAACAGAUUAAAUAUGAUGAUAAAUUAUGA